RNAcentral lists this ribosomal RNA (667 nucleotides) under uncultured organism. RNAcentral describes it as "bacterial SSU rRNA". It matches the Rfam family "Bacterial small subunit ribosomal RNA", at positions 169 to 811 of the family's 1533-position model. The record is from RNAcentral.
CCGCAUUCGAUCCCCGGGCUGCAUGGCCUGGGGAUGAAAGGUGGCCUCUGCUUGCAAGCCGCCGCCGAUGGAUGGUCCCGCGUCCCAUUAGCUAGUUGGUAGGGUAACGGCCUACCAAGGCUGCGAUGGGUAGGCGGCCUGAGAGGGUGACCGCCGUCACUGGGACUGAGAUACGGCCCAGACUCCUACGGGAGGCAGCAGUCGAGAAGCUUCGGCAAUGGGCGAAAGCCUGACCGAGCGACGCCGCGUGAGCGAUGAAGGCCCUAGUGGUUGUAAAGCUCUGUCAGAUUGGGAAUAAAUGCCGGGGGCGAAUAACCCCUGGAGCUGAAGGUACCGUCAGAGGAAGCACCGGCUAACUCCGUGCCAGCAGCCGCGGUAAUACGGAGGGUGCAAGCGUUGUUCGGAUUCACUGGGUAUAAAGGGUGCGUAGGCGGCCUUGUAAGUCAGAGGUGAAAGCUGCCGGCUUAACUGGCAAAUUGCCUUUGAGACUGCAAGGCUUGAGUCCGGGAGAGGAAGGCGGAAUUCCAGGUGUAGCGGUGAAAUGCGUAAAUAUCUGGAGGAACACCGGUGGCGAAGGCGGCCUUCUGGUCCGGUACUGACGCUGAGGCACGAAAGCCAGGGGAGCAAACGGGAUUAGAUACCCCGGUAGUCCUGGCCGUAAACGAUG